CAACACAGCAGUACUAGAAUCACAAUUAUAAGGAAAUAAACAUGCCUCUUGAAUCUUCUACUUUGUUUUAUAAAACAAAACACAAUUAUUAUCUGAAUGGACUACUAUAUUUGUUAUAUAUACCAACAGAAGGAAUUGGACUAUUAACUGCAUAAAUCACAAAUUCUUCAGCAUAAUUUCGAAUAUAACAAUUCUGAAACCUGAGAACAAUGUUAAGCAAUUGAUUGCUUUUAUCAACUUGCCAUGUCCAAAUA
Long non-coding RNA from Oxyura jamaicensis (ruddy duck), 254 nucleotides. RefSeq lists it as uncharacterized. The transcript has 2 exons. The record is from RefSeq and is a predicted model, not a curated record. NCBI's taxonomy places the organism in Eukaryota, Metazoa, Chordata, Aves, Anseriformes, Anatidae.